AAGCGCUCAUCCACCUUCUUAUGAUAGCUUAGCUUCAUAAACUUAUCGGAUGAUGCCAAUGUCAUGGAGUCUAACGUCCGACCCUUGAUAAUGACUACGGUCUUAUCUAAUUACGGACGCCACGUUGAGUGAGACUCCGCCCG
Plesiomonas shigelloides 302-73 is the source of this 143-nucleotide small RNA. It matches the Rfam family "Glm Y RNA activator of glmS mRNA". From Rfam's summary of the family: This family consists of a number of bacterial RNA genes of around 167 bases in length. The function of this RNA is unknown. The record is from Rfam. Lineage: Bacteria; Pseudomonadati; Pseudomonadota; Gammaproteobacteria; Enterobacterales; Enterobacteriaceae.